RNAcentral lists this ribosomal RNA (568 nucleotides) under uncultured bacterium. Its description in RNAcentral is "bacterial SSU rRNA". It matches the Rfam family "Bacterial small subunit ribosomal RNA", at positions 362 to 916 of the family's 1533-position model. The record is from RNAcentral.
UCUUCCGCAUGGCGCGAAAGCCUGNCGGNGCGACACCGCGUGUAGGAUGAAGGCCUUCGGGUUGUAAACUACUGUCACUUGGGACGAAAUUUGCGGCGGUGAAUAAUCGCCGCAAUUGACUGUACCAAGAGAGGAAGCCACGGCUAACUCUGUGCCAGCAGCCGCGGUAAUUCAGAGGUGGCGAGCGUUGUUCGGAUUGAUUGGGUGUAAAGGGUGCGUAGGCGGUUUGGAAAGUCGGGUGUGAAAUCCUAUGGCUCAACCAUAGAACUGCAUUCGAAACUUCCAAACUCGAGUGCGAGAGAGGUGAAGGGAAUUCCCGGUGUAAGGGUGAAAUCUGUAGAGAUCGGGAGGAACACCAGUAGCGAAGGCGCUUCACUGGCUCGCAACUGACGCUGAGUGCACGAAAGCGUGGGGAGCAAACGGGAUUAGAUACCCCGGUAGUCCACGCCCUAAACGAUGUUCACUAGGUGUUGGCUCCGUUUCAUUCGGAGUCGGCGCCGCCGCUAACGCAUUAAGUGAACCACCUGGGGAGUAUACUCGCAAGGGUGAAACUCAAAAAAAUUGACGA